RNAcentral lists this long non-coding RNA (1442 nucleotides) under Numida meleagris (helmeted guineafowl). RNAcentral's name for it is "lncRNA (ENSNMEG00000010268.1)". Lineage: Eukaryota; Metazoa; Chordata; Aves; Galliformes; Numididae. The record is from RNAcentral.
UUCUAGAGAAAAAAAUGGAUAAGUACUUUAUAAGAGCCCCUGAAAUCCAAACCCAGAUUACUUGUCUUUAUGUCACAAGGAAGACUUGGAAACUGUGGGUGCAGUUGUCUAACACAGUGUGGACAGAUCUUUCUGAUAUCUAGCAGCCUGCAGACAGUUGAUUUGGUCAGAUUCCUAAUUUUAAUCUUUUAUGUAACUAAUGUUGAAUUACAAUAAUACAUAAGAACUAAACAAGUUUAAAAUACUAUUUUGUAUUCCUUUCCUUUGGCAUGCUGCUACUUGUGAAAUCAAAAUCUCAAAUGCAGAAGAAUCUUACUAAAAAUAAUCUGCAGCUCUGUUGCAGUGUAAGCAGAGCCAGAGAAGUGUUAAAAAUGUUUUACCUUGCAUUGCAGAGCAGUUCUGACAUGUCAUGAAACAACCAAGCAGUUCACAUUUCAACUACACUAAAGCUACGGUGUAACCCACCAGAUUUUUGCAUGCAAUUUUGCUUCCCUGCCCCUUUUCUCAGCACUGUCUUAACAGAAGAAAUAGAAAAGGAAAUCAGUUUAGAUACGUACCCUGGGUGAACCUAACAGGAUGCAAGAGGCCAUCUGAACUGCACUUUUCAAACCCACAGAAACCCCUCCUCUGUCAUGUCCCAAAAACAAAGCCGCCUCCAGUCAUGUUGAUAAGAUGGAUCUUGUUGUACAGCCUUCUAGUAAUGCUGGCUCAGAGCAACAAUCAAGAGUCCGGAGAGUCUGCAAACACCACCACGCUUUCAUCAGAAUUUUUAGAUGCCACUACUAAGUCAAAAGAACAUGGAAAAAACAAGACAUUGCACAUUAUUUAUGCUUCAGUAUCCGUGGGUCUAUGUUGUCCAUUCAUCUUCAUAUGCGUGUUUUGGAGUCUAAGGAGGUACCAUGGAAAGCAUAAGAGAUCUCCAUCAACACCACAGAGACGAGAGAGCCGGAUCAGAAGUCCAUCAGCAAUUCCAUCCCAUGCAGCUGGGACAACUCCAGCCUCAGAUGAAAACUCCUCACUUUAUUGCUCCAUGUCUAGCCCACCUCAGCUCUUGCCUGGCAACAAGAUUUAUGACAAUGUUCCUCACUGUAAUGCUCAGGAGACAGCAUCUAACUCACCUUGUAAUGAUCCUUCCAUCCCAGCUUCACUUGAAAGCCAAGAUGUCCUCAUAUACGCCUCACUAAAUCAUUCUGCUUCUGCAAAAAGAUACCAGAGAAGGAAACUCUCUAUAGAAAAUGAAUUUAUAGAAUAUGCCUCUAUUAAGAUAAAUAAAUAAAUAUGGCAGACAUCUCCAGACAGCCAUUUUGCAUGCAGUCUCUGGUUUAUCUUCCCUCCAGGAUCUUUCCUUUCUCUCCUAGGGAAAACUUUCCUUUUGUUUAGAAGAACCUGUGGAUGCUCCCCCACUACACACAGGAAUUCAAAACACAGCCUGUGUCAUUCAG